CAAUCGUCUGUCGACGGAAGUUGCGUCACCAGAAAACAACGGCACCAUCGCUAAGGAAAGUCGCUUUUCUUGUAUCUUUACAUGGCGACAUCAGCAAUUCGCGUUGUUAAUCCAGAUGCCCGUGCACACCGUCACUCGGCCCUACUUAAGACAACCAAAGAGGCUCGUUAGUACCGGGUGAGAAGUUUGGUCUUCCCCAAACCUCCAUUGGAGCUGCUCAGCCAAAUCACUGCAUUGACUCACGCAGAGAAGCUUCUCCGAGCAGAGGGUAUCCACGCACCUUCACGUCAGCAGUGUCUGGGAGAGCUGGUGGUGCCAUUAGGACAAUAUGAAAAGGCACCGCUGCGAUGGCUCGUUACAAACGAUGUGGGAUAUAUGAAGUAAUGUACUAAAGUCCCAACACUCCUCGUCUGCAAGUUAACUUCUGGAGUGAAGUCUGACAAGUCUUUUUGUGGCACUCUGUUGGAGUGUGAAAGUGCUCCUUGAAGUAUCCUCAAGCUGAUAAGUGUGAAUGUGAGCUAGGGCU
Long non-coding RNA from Pelmatolapia mariae (spotted tilapia), 526 nucleotides. RefSeq lists it as uncharacterized. The record is from RefSeq and is a predicted model, not a curated record. The transcript is spliced from 3 exons. Lineage: Eukaryota; Metazoa; Chordata; Actinopteri; Cichliformes; Cichlidae.